GGGGUGACUGCGUACCUUUUGUAUAAUGGGUCAGCGACUUAUAUUCUGUAGCAAGGUUAACCGAAUAGGGGAGCCGAAGGGAAACCGAGUCUUAACUGGGCGUUAAGUUGCAGGGUAUAGACCCGAAACCCGGUGAUCUAGCCAUGGGCAGGUUGAAGGUUGGGUAACACUAACUGGAGGACCGAACCGACUAAUGUUGAAAAAUUAGCGGAUGACUUGUGGCUGGGGGUGAAAGGCCAAUCAAACCGGGAGAUAGCUGGUUCUCCCCGAAAGCUAUUUAGGUAGCGCCUCGUGAAUUCAUCUCCGGGGGUAGAGCACUGUUUCGGCAAGGGGGUCAUCCCGACUUACCAACCCGAUGCAAACUGCGAAUACCGGAGAAUGUUAUCACGGGAGACACACGGCGGGUGCUAACGUCCGUCGUGAAGAGGGAAACAACCCAGACCGCCAGCUAAGGUCCCAAAGUCAUGGUUAAGUGGGAAACGAUGUGGGAAGGCCCAGACAGCCAGGAUGUUGGCUUAGAAGCAGCCAUCAUUUAAAGAAAGCGUAAUAGCUCACUGGUCGAGUCGGCCUGCGCGGAAGAUGUAACGGGGCUAAACCAUGCACCGAAGCUGCGGCAGCGACGCUUAUGCGUUGUUGGGUAGGGGAGCGUUCUGUAAGCCUGUGAAGGUGUGCUGUGAGGCAUGCUGGAGGUAUCAGAAGUGCGAAUGCUGACAUAAGUAACGAUAAAGCGGGUGAAAAGCCCGCUCGCCGGAAGACCAAGGGUUCCUGUCCAACGUUAAUCGGGGCAGGGUGAGUCGACCCCUAAGGCGAGGCCGAAAGGCGUAGUCGAUGGGAAACAGGUUAAUAUUCCUGUACUUGGUGUUACUGCGAAGGGGGGACGGAGAAGGCUAUGUUGGCCGGGCGACGGUUGUCCCGGUUUAAGCGUGUAGGCUGGUUUUCCAGGCAAAUCCGGAAAAUCAAGGCUGAGGCGUGAUGACGAGGCACUACGGUGCUGAAGCAACAAAUGCCCUGCUUCCAGGAAAAGCCUCUAAGCAUCAGGUAACAUCAAAUCGUACCCCAAACCGACACAGGUGGUCAGGUAGAGAAUACCAAGGCGCUUGAGAGAACUCGGGUGAAGGAACUAGGCAAAAUGGUGCCGUAACUUCGGGAGAAGGCACGCUGAUAUGUAGGUGAAGUCCCUCGCGGAUGGAGCUGAAAUCAGUCGAAGAUACCAGCUGGCUGCAACUGUUUAUUAAAAACACAGCACUGUGCAAACACGAAAGUGGACGUAUACGGUGUGACGCCUGCCCGGUGCCGGAAGGUUAAUUGAUGGGGUUAGCGCAAGCGAAGCUCUUGAUCGAAGCCCCGGUAAACGGCGGCCGUAACUAUAACGGUCCUAAGGUAGCGAAAUUCCUUGUCGGGUAAGUUCCGACCUGCACGAAUGGCGUAAUGAUGGCCAGGCUGUCUCCACCCGAGACUCAGUGAAAUUGAACUCGCUGUGAAGAUGCAGUGUACCCGCGGCAAGACGGAAAGACCCCGUGAACCUUUACUAUAGCUUGACACUGAACAUUGAGCCUUGAUGUGUAGGAUAGGUGGGAGGCUUUGAAGUGUGGACGCCAGUCUGCAUGGAGCCGACCUUGAAAUACCACCCUUUAAUGUUUGAUGUUCUAACGU
RNAcentral lists this ribosomal RNA (1653 nucleotides) under Escherichia coli. Its description in RNAcentral is "23S ribosomal RNA". It matches the Rfam family "Bacterial large subunit ribosomal RNA", at positions 590 to 2228 of the family's 2925-position model. The record is from RNAcentral. Lineage: Bacteria; Pseudomonadati; Pseudomonadota; Gammaproteobacteria; Enterobacterales; Enterobacteriaceae.